GCUCUAGGAUGCUGUAUCCUGACAUGCUUCUGUUCUCUCACCUGAAUCAGGUCUUGAAGGAAGACAAGUGUUCUGGGAGGUGACACAUAUGGAGAUGACACAUGCCCAGCGCAGGGUUCAGCUUGUAUGAGUGCUCUGAGGUCAAGAUGGCUACUGUGUAGAAGCAGAGCUCUUCUCCUCUCUACUGACCCAGGAAGAGUACCUCAAAUAGACAAAACAAAAAUCAAAUGAGUGAAGGAGUUACACGGAAGUACACAGCACAGAAGGAAACUUAGAUUCCUGCCAAGAAGGAAGCAGGAGAUCAGAGUCAGAGGCUGACCACUCUACUGUCCUCAAUAAGGGUACCAGGCUAGAAUUCUAUUUGUCCAUCUUAUGCCCACUUAUUUCCUGAAACACAACAAUAUUAAAAAGAGAACAAUUAAUAACCCUAUGGUGGCAUCUCAGUGUUUAAGUGAAAGGAAGUGUCUAUUUAUGCUACAAACUUCAUUGUUGAUUUAUUUUAAGAAAUUGCUACAGCAAGCCCAACCUUCAAUAACCUGAUCAGUCAGAAGCUAAUUGCAUUGAGGCAAGAACUUCUACCGGCAGGCUCAGAUGAUGGUUAGCAUCUUUUUUUUUUUAAAUAAAGCAUUUUUAAAAUGAAGGCA
RNAcentral lists this long non-coding RNA (644 nucleotides) under Monodelphis domestica (gray short-tailed opossum). RNAcentral describes it as "lncRNA (ENSMODG00000037641.1)". The record is from RNAcentral. Lineage: Eukaryota; Metazoa; Chordata; Mammalia; Didelphimorphia; Didelphidae.